RNAcentral lists this non-coding RNA (65 nucleotides) under Selenomonas sp. oral taxon 920. The record is from RNAcentral. Lineage: Bacteria; Bacillati; Bacillota; Negativicutes; Selenomonadales; Selenomonadaceae.
AGCCGAAACGGGCGCAAGCCCGUCCGCAGGGAGUGACCGCCCUGCGCUGAUGAUGGCAGGUCACG